AGAGUGCGCGAGGCUGAGCGGUAUAAUUGGGCUGCGACUAGAGGAGUUAACGAAGAGUUGCUCUUUGAGAAUAUGCCUGAUGACCUUCAAAGAGAUAUAAGGCGACACCUCUUCAAAUUUCUCAAGAAGGUACUAAGCAACAGCCACAUGAAAGCAUUAAUCAGUAUCCAUCAGUCAGUAUUCUUUUUGUGUACUUAGAGACUCCAUAGUGUUACAAAAAGCUAGUUCUGAAUCCAACUGUGUCUAGAUAAUAGGCAUAGAUUAACCACUACUGAAACUCAAUUGUAAGACUUUGAAACUUUAAUGGAUUUGCAGGUAAGGAUCUUUUCCUUGAUGGAUGAAUCAAUCUUAGAUGCCAUCCGUGAGAGGCUGAAACAGAGGACUUACAUAAGGGGUAGCACGGUGUUGCACAACAGAGGUAUAGUUGAAAAGAUGGUAUUCAUAGUGAGAGGUGAGAUGGAGAGCAGUGGGGAAGACGGUUCUGUUCUGCCAUUAUCGGAAGGCGACGUUUGUGGUGAAGAACUUCUCACUUGGUGCCUCGAACGCUCUUCCAUAAACCCCGGUACUAAUAAGAUUUGACUCUGUGUUCAUGAUUUUAAUGUUAACGUAAACUGUUUUAGAAGAAACUUGACUGAGGAAAAGCUUGGAAUUAAAUAUGUUUUGAAACUUUGCAGAUGGGACGAGGAUAAAGAUGCAACCAAAGGGAUUGGUUAGCAACAGAAAUGUUAGGUGUAUGACAAACGUGGAGGCGUUUGCACUGAGUGUAGCAGAUCUUGAAGAUGUAACGAGCUUGUUUUCAAGAUUCUUAAGGAGCCAUCGAGUGCAAGGAGCCAUAAGGUACGAGUCUCCUUAUUGGAGGUUACGAGCAGCUAUGCAAAUUCAAGUGGCUUGGAGAUACCGAAAGAGACAACUCCAGAGAUUAUACACUACUCAGUCCAGUUACAACCGUUAAAUUGGAAGAUGAUGUUUGGUUUGGUGGUAGAUAAGUAAUAUAAGUAUAAAGCUUAGUGGUUUUUAAAUAGUUGUAAUAUAUAAAAUGACUCGAUGAUUCAUUAGUUGUAAUCUAUAAGAUGGCUCAGUGAUUCACUCAUUAGUGAUACUAAAGCUGAAAAACUUGUCUUAGAAUGAAACUUUUUCUCAGAAGUGUUUCUCAAGUUCCAAACUUCCAAUCAUAUAAAUUACUUCAGGCCUCUUUGGCGGUUUAUGGUUGACCAAUGAAAAAUUGACGACAUUAACAGUGAAACCAUUCGGUUCAAACACCCCAAGUUGAAUAAAUAAUUUAAAUCCACGUGGCUUGAGUAGUUGGGCUCAUAAUUUUGGCCCAUUUAAUAUUGUACUCUUACUGUAAGAAAGUAAGAUAAAGAAACAGAAGCAGCCAUAUGUGGUUAAUGACAUUUUUGGCUCCAAUCACUUAGUGACAGUUGGUACUUGGUAAUCAAAUAAUGGAAUUUUUACAGACCCGUGAACAUAUUUAAAAGGAAAAGCAUCUUAAUUUAUUCCCUCUUCGUACUGAAUAUUCAAUAUUCUCCACCAUUUUACUUGUAAUGUUCAUGGAUUUAUUUCCAUAAUCACUUAAAAAAUACAAUUGCAUAAACAGAAAUAAAAUAAAAAAAGAUAGCCACAGAGGAGAGAGAGAGAGAGAAGGACCCUUUACGGACAAUGAAAUAAACAAUGUAAUAAAAGUCAAGUACUGACUUUUUCUGACAUGAGUUCUUCUUGCUUACAAUAAUACACUUCCUUGACGGAGGCUAUACGAAGAAGACGACCCUGACUUGGUCAUCCUCAUCUCCUCUCUUAUUUCUUCUUCUUACCAAUUUUACCAAAAGUCUCAAACUCUCUGCUUCAUUCAACUUACUUCUCCGUCUCAAAUUCUUUGUUUUUUCUUCUUGAAUUCUUGAUUUUGGUCAAGAAAUGGCUUCCCAUAACGAGAACGAUGAUAUCCCCAUGCUUCCAAUUUCAGACUCGUCAUCUCGUACCAGAGCUUUCACUUCCAGGACCCGUAGCGCUUCUCUCUCAAAUCCUACUUCCUCCAUUGACGGAUUCGACAACUCAAAUGUGGUUUUAGGCUACACGGGUCCUCUUCGAGCUCCGAGACGUCCUCCGUUAGUUCAAAUGAGUGGUCCUCUUACCUCUACUCGCAAACCUGAACCUCUCUUUCUUCCCCAUCCUUCUACUAGUUCUUCUGGUGUCUCUUCUCAGCUUGAGAGGUAUCCUUCUGCUCUUGAACAUAAAAACUCCUCAGACGAUGACUUUGUUUUGAAACACGCGAAUCUCUUGAAAUCGGGACAACUAGGGAUGUGUAAUGAUCCUUACUGUACCACUUGCCCUUCUUAUUACAACCGUAAGGCUGCUCAAAUUCCUCACUCUAGAGUUUCUGCCAUUUUUGAUUCCACGGUAAAGUUUUGAUUUUUGUUUACUUCACAGUCACAAAAUUUGCUUCAGGAUCAAGUAUAUGUUACUGAAACAGAGUCUUUUGCUUUAUCGCUAGUUCCAUAAUGCUCUGUACGAUGAUGCUAAAGGUUGGGCUAGGCGUUUUUCUUCCUCUGUCAAUAGAUACUUACCUGGAAUCAUGAAUCCUCAUGCCAAAGUAGUUCAAAGCUGGACUAAAUUCUUCGCCCUUUCAUGCUUGUUAGCUAUUUUUAUAGACCCUCUCUUCUUCUUCCUCAUUAAAGUCCAAGAGGUAUGUUUAUUUCUUAAGAGAUAUCUCUCUCUCUCUCUAUCUUUUGCUUCUCCUGUGUGUUGUUAUCUUGCCUUUUAACCUUUUUGACCAUCUUACUUACUGUAGCGAAACAAAUGCAUUAUGAUUGAUUGGCCAAUGACUAGAGCAUUUGUUGCUGUUAGAAGUGUGACAGAUGUUAUAUUCACUAUGAACAUUCUACUACAGGUGUUUUUCCUUUGCUUACUAUUUACUCCAUCUCUUUUUAAACAAAAUCUGUUGGCUUUAUAAUGCUCACUUCUUCCAUAUUUGUUGCAGUUCCGAUUAGCCUACGUAGCUCCUGAGUCUACUGUGGUUGGUGCUGGCCAGUUAGUUAGUCAUCCGAAGAAAAUUGCCCUCCAUUAUUUCCGAGGAAAGUUUUUUCUUGACUUGUUCAUAGUGAUGCCACUUCCACAGGUAUUGUAAUGUUAGAGCUACUACUGGCUUUAAGUAAUGGUAAUCAUAACAUGUUUGUUUACCUUUCUCCUCUUUUGUUUACAGAUAUUGAUAUUAUGGAUAAUACCAAAACACUUGGGGGUAUCCGGAGCAAACUAUGCAAAAAACCUUCUACGAGCUGCAGUUCUUUUCCAGUACAUUCCAAAGUUAUAUAGACUUCUACCAUUUCUUGCUGGACAAACACCAACGGGAUUCAUAUUUGAGUCAGCUUGGGCUAAUUUUGUCAUUAAUCUUCUCACCUUCAUGCUUGCUGGACAUGUUGUUGGCUCUUGCUGGUAUCUUUUUGGUUUGCAGGUAUGACAAAGUCUCAAAAUGUCCUUUCAUACUUAUCUUGUCCUGAGCAAUGCCUAUAUUUAAAUAGAUUCUUUUCAUUGUCUGUUUCCCUUUUUCUUUUGUCUCUUACAGAGAGUGAAUCAAUGCCUUCGAAAUGCUUGCGGUAGUCUUGACCGUGGAUGUCGAGAUCUUAUAGAUUGUGGUAAUGGAAAUAGCAGCGAUGUACAAGUACGAGCUACCUGGAGAGAUAACGCGAGUGCCAUUGCUUGUUUCCAAGAAGAUGGUUUUCCUUAUGGAAUCUAUUCAAAAGCAGUCAAUCUUACCAGUCAUUCUAGUCUCUUCACAAGAUACAGUUACUCUCUCUUCUGGGGUUUUCAGGUAAUUUGUUUUUGGUUUUUUUUCAGUUUUUGAGUAGCAAACUUUAAAAAAGUACUGAACUACUUUGCCAUUGAUUGGCAUAUUUGGAACUCUUCCCUAAUGUCAUUUUUGUUUUAAUAAUUCGCAAAGCAAAUCAGCACUCUUGCUGGUAACCAAGUCCCAAGCUACUUUCUAGGGGAGGUCUUCUUUACUAUGGGUAUCAUUGGACUAGGACUUUUGCUUUUUGCGCUUCUUAUUGGCAAUAUGCAAAAUUUCCUUCAAGCUCUUGGUAAAAGGUAAAAAAACUCCUAUCAUUACAUUAUUGUACAAAAGUAGAUAUUUCAAGACAUAGUGGUUGGUUUAGUGAAUUACUAAGUACUCUGGUGAUGUUGCUUUGUCCAUAAUAGAAAUUUGGAAAUGACGCUAAGACGGCGUGAUGUGGAACAAUGGAUGAGCCAUAGACGGUUGCCUGAAGGUAUAAGAAAGUAUGUGGCCUAUCCCUAUUAUAUACUUUGCUUCUCAGUUGAAGUUUAAGUUUUGAAGAAUUACAUUGGUCUCAGUUUCUGUAGUGUCACUAUAAAACUAAGUGCAUUGUUUGUUCAACAUUUUCAGGAGGGUGCGAGAAGCUGAGAGGUUCAACUGGGCUGCUACUAGAGGCGUUAACGAAGAGCUGCUCUUUGAGAAUAUGCCUGAUGACCUUCAAAGAGAUAUAAGACGCCACCUCUUCAAAUUUCUCAAGAAGGUAAGCAUCUGAGUCCAUUUUCCUUAGCAUGGCUCUCUCUCUCGAACAUUUGUGUGUGCAUAUAUCCCAAUUCCAUAGUGUUUCAAAGAGCUACUUCUAGAAUCUAGCUGUAUAGGGACUGCUACUGAAACCAAAAGUAAUAGUUAGAGUCACAGAUUAAUCAUUUUUGAGAAUACUACAGAAAUGUUUAUGGGUUGCAGGUGAGAAUAUUUUCU
Molecule: long non-coding RNA, 4738 nt
Filed under: Capsella grandiflora
Lineage: Eukaryota; Viridiplantae; Streptophyta; Magnoliopsida; Brassicales; Brassicaceae
Description: long non-coding RNA (CGRA_LNC001257)
Source: RNAcentral